ACUCCGGUUGAUCCUGCCGGACCCGACCGCUAUCGGGGUAGGGCUAAGCCAUGGGAGUCGAACGCCCCGCCGCUGCGGGGCGUGGCGGACGGCUGAGUAACACGUGGCUAACCUACCCUCGGGACGGGGAUAACCCCUCGGGAAACUGGGGCUAAUUCCCGAUAGGCGGGGGGUGCCUGGAAGGGUCCUCCGCCGAAAGGGGCCGCGGGGGGUUAUCGCCCGCGGUCCGCCCGAGGAUGGGGCUGCGGCCCAUCACGGUAGUUGGCGGGGUAAUGGCCCGCCAAGCCUACGACGGGUAGGGGCCGUGAGAGCGGGAGCCCCCAGAUGGGCACUGAGACAAGGGCCCAGGCCCUACGGGGCGCACCAGGCGCGAAAACUCCGCAAUGCGGGCAACCGUGACGGGGCUACCCCGAGUGCCCCCCUUGGGGGGGCUUUUCCCCGCUGUAAGUAGGCGGGGGAAUAAGCGGGGGGCAAGACUGGUGUCAGCCGCCGCGGUAAUACCACCCCCGCGAGCGGUCGGGGUGCUUACUGGGCCUAAAGCGCCCGUAGCCGGCUCGACAAGUCCCCGCCUAAAGCCCCGGGCUCAACCCGGGGAGUGGCGGGGAUACUGUCGGGCUAGGGGGCGGGAGAGGCCGAGGGUACUCCCGGGGUAGGGGCGAAAUCCAUUAAUCCCGGGAGGACCACCAGUGGCGAAGGCGCUCGGCUGGAACGCGCCCGACGGUGAGGGGCGAAAGCCGGGGGAGCGAACCGGAUUAGAUACCCGGGUAGUCCCGGCUGUAAACGAUGCGGGCUAGGUGUUGGGCGGGCGUGCGAGCCCGCCCAGUGCCGCAGGGAAGCCGUUAAGCCCGCCGCCUGGGGAGUACGGCCGCAAGGCUGAAACUUAAAGGAAUUGGCGGGGGAGCACCACAAGGGGUGGAGCCUGCGGCUUAAUUGGAGUCAACGCCGGGAACCUCCACCGGGGGCGACAGCAGGAUGACGGCCAGGCUGAAGGCCUUGCCCGACGCGCUGAGGGGAGGUGCAUGGCCGUCGCCAGCUCGUGCCGUGAGGUGUCCUGUUAAGUCAGGCAACGAGCGAGACCCCCGCCCCUAGUUGCCAUCCCCGGGGCGUCCCGGGGGGCACACUAGGGGGACUGCCGCCGCUAAGGCGGAGGAAGGAGGGGGCAACGGCAGGUCAGCAUGCCCCUAAACCCCCGGGCUGCACGCGGGCUACAAUGGCGGGGACAGCGGGUGCCGACCCCGAAAGGGGGAGGCAAUCCCUCAAACCCCGCCUCAGUUGGGAUCGAGGGCUGCAACUCGCCCUCGUGAACGUGGAAUCCCUAGUAACCGCGCGUCAUCAUCGCGCGGUGAAUACGUCCCUGCUCCUUGCACACACUGCCCGUCGCUCCACCCGAGGGGGGAGGGGGUGAGGCCCUCUCCGCCGGGAGGGGGUCGAACCCCCUCCCCCCGAGGGGGGAGAAGUCGUAACAAGGUAGCCGUAGGGGAACCUGCGGCUGGAUCACCUC
RNAcentral lists this ribosomal RNA (1501 nucleotides) under Aeropyrum pernix. RNAcentral describes it as "16S ribosomal RNA". It matches the Rfam family "Archaeal small subunit ribosomal RNA". Lineage: Archaea; Thermoproteati; Thermoproteota; Thermoprotei; Acidilobales; Acidilobaceae. The record is from RNAcentral.